AGAGUUUGAUCCUGGCUCAGGACGAACGCUGGCGGCGUGCCUAAUACAUGCAAGUCGAACGCUUUUUCUUUCACCGGAGCUUGCUCCACCGAAAGAAAAAGAGUGGCGAACGGGUGAGUAACACGUGGGUAACCUGCCCAUCAGAAGGGGAUAACACUUGGAAACAGGUGCUAAUACCGUAUAACACUAUUUUCCGCAUGGAAGAAAGUUGAAAGGCGCUUUUGCGUCACUGAUGGAUGGACCCGCGGUGCAUUAGCUAGUUGGUGAGGUAACGGCUCACCAAGGCCACGAUGCAUAGCCGACCUGAGAGGGUGAUCGGCCACACUGGGACUGAGACACGGCCCAGACUCCUACGGGAGGCAGCAGUAGGGAAUCUUCGGCAAUGGACGAAAGUCUGACCGAGCAACGCCGCGUGAGUGAAGAAGGUUUUCGGAUCGUAAAACUCUGUUGUUAGAGAAGAACAAGGAUGAGAGUAAAAUGUUCAUCCCUUGACGGUAUCUAACCAGAAAGCCACGGCUAACUACGUGCCAGCAGCCGCGGUAAUACGUAGGUGGCAAGCGUUGUCCGGAUUUAUUGGGCGUAAAAGCGAGCGCAUGCGGUUUCUUAAGUCUGAUGUGAAAGCCCCCGGCUCAACCGGGGGAGGGUUCAUUGGAAACUGGGAGACUUGAGUGCAGAAGAGGAGAGUGGAUUUCCAUGUGUAGCGGUGAAAUGCGUAAGAUAUAUGGAGGAACACCAGUGGCGAAAGGCCGCUCUCUGGUCUGUAACUGACGG
This 771-nucleotide ribosomal RNA is filed under the name uncultured bacterium. RNAcentral describes it as "bacterial SSU rRNA". It matches the Rfam family "Bacterial small subunit ribosomal RNA", at positions 8 to 746 of the family's 1533-position model. The record is from RNAcentral.